UUCCUUUUUGUGCAUGUUCAUCGAGAGAGAAAGGGAGAAAGAAAAAAUAUGGUUUCAAAGGGGUUUCUUGAUUGAAGAUGAAGGGAUGAGAAAAGUGAACAAGAUGAUGUUUUAUAGUGGUUCAGCUCAUAGCCUACAUCCACUCUUCAAAGAUAUAAAGUUGAAGCCCUCCUGCAGAAGAUAGUUCAACAAAUCUCAACAAAAAACAACAAGGAACGAGACUAUUCUUAUUUCUUGUUUUUUGAAAAUAGAAACAAAAAACAUAGAUUUUUUUAAUAAUAAAUUUAUUAUUUAUUGUUUC
Molecule: long non-coding RNA, 301 nt
Organism: Cucumis melo (muskmelon)
Lineage: Eukaryota; Viridiplantae; Streptophyta; Magnoliopsida; Cucurbitales; Cucurbitaceae
Exons: 2
Source: RefSeq, a predicted model, not a curated record